This 262-nucleotide long non-coding RNA is filed under the name Micromonas commoda. RNAcentral describes it as "long non-coding RNA (MCOM_LNC000474)". Lineage: Eukaryota; Viridiplantae; Chlorophyta; Mamiellophyceae; Mamiellales; Mamiellaceae. The record is from RNAcentral.
CGCGGCGCCGGAGGUGGAGAUGGCGUUCGCCUGGGCGACGUCGACGUUGUACAGCUUGGCCAUGGCGGCGGCCUCGGUGGUGCAACCGCCCGAGUCGAGGGUGUGGACGAGGUAGAAGAUGCUGGCCUUGCACGUCUUGACCGCUUUGUUAUAGGCGCAUCGCAAGUCGGCGUUGCAGGUGGCCUCGUCCUUCGCGAUGGGACCGCAGACAUUUUCGUUGUGCAUCGACUGCUUGACGUGCGCCAACUGGAGAGCGGUCGCG